This 468-nucleotide ribosomal RNA is filed under the name Ceriodaphnia reticulata. RNAcentral describes it as "partial 16S ribosomal RNA". It matches the Rfam family "Bacterial large subunit ribosomal RNA", at positions 1915 to 2601 of the family's 2925-position model. Lineage: Eukaryota; Metazoa; Arthropoda; Branchiopoda; Diplostraca; Daphniidae. The record is from RNAcentral.
UGCUUUUAGUAAAUAGCCGCAGUACUUUGACUGUGCUAAGGUAGCAUAAUCAUUAGUCUUUUAAUUGGAGGCUGGUAUGAAUGGCGAGACGAGAAAAUAGCUGUCUCUAAUAAAAUUAUUGAAUUUCAUUUCUAAGUGAAAAAGCUUAGAUUAUUUUGGAGGACGAUCAGACCCUUUGGAGCUUUAUCUGACAUUAGACCUGUUUUAAUUUUUAAUAAAAAUGUUGUGUGUUGGAUUUUGUUGGGGCGACAAAGAGUUAAAAAUAACACUCUUUUUAAUUAACAUACAUAGAUGAAAAUUUGAUCCUUGAAGAGAGAUUAAAAGACUAAGUUACCCUAGGGAUAACAGCGUAAUCUUUUUAGAGAGUUCAUAUCGAUAAGAAGGUUUGCGACCUCGAUGUUGGAUUAAGAAAUUAGCAAGGUGCAGAAGUUUUGCUGGAAAGUCUGUUCGACUUUUAAUAUCUUACAU